UGCCUUCAACACUAGAGAAGUAUUAAUUCAGCAGAAAAAUGUUCUGUAGAGGAUUUUCCCAAACAGUCAAGUCACCAAUUCAGCUGUGUUUGUCAAGCCCAUGAUAUAUAGGGCACAAAAACUGAUUGCAGCAGUUGCCUCACAACUCCCUGUGCUGAAGCAAUGACAGCAAAACCAAGGCAGCCAUGGAGUGAUAAUGCAAAAAAAUUUUAUCAGCCCAUCCCUCCAGCAACACGCUGUGUUCCAGCUCCUGCCUCGGAUCCUCUGCCUGGAUCUAAUGAGGAGAUGGACUAAAAUCAUGGAAAGCUGCAUCUCUUCUCUAUAUUUAGGUGGAGUUAUUCUAAUUUGCUGCUACUUCUGUAAGAAGAGAAUUUGAUCCACUCUGUUCUUCAAUGAAAUUCUUUGGAAGGCGGCUGCUGAUUCAGAAGAGAAAACACAGGGGGCUCUGGAGAGCAGGGGAGACUUCUGAGGAUGGGAAGAAAACAAGAAGUGCAAGGAGGAGGAUCAGAGGAACUACUGGCCUGUGACUCUCACCUCCCCAAGGACAAGAGCCCAGUUGAAAUGCAGGAAAUUCCACUGAAAUAUCAGGAAAACUUCUUUGCACAGAGAGGUUGUGGAGUUUCCAUCCUUGAUAUUGAACCUCUGGGUGGACAGUCCUUGACCCUGCUUUGAGCAGAGGCUUGAACAAGAUGCUUUCUAGAGAGAAAUCAGAAUUGAAAUGUGGCAUUUGCUGUAGCUAUUAGACUUGUUUAUUUAUGAGCUGUUACAUAGUUAUGAAGUAAAGAGAUUGCUUUUUCCUCUCUGACUUUAGUAUGCAAGAUAGUUCCACGUAAUCAGCAUUUUCAAUAAAGUAACAAUUACUGGAUGAUCUAUGGUUGUCCAAGUAUGAGCCUUCUGCUUGUCUUCAGCUGAGAAUCAAAUUACUGCAACAGCUUUAUUGAACUUCAAAUGAGGCAGAAAUAA
Chiroxiphia lanceolata (lance-tailed manakin) is the source of this 963-nucleotide long non-coding RNA. RefSeq lists it as uncharacterized. NCBI's taxonomy places the organism in Eukaryota, Metazoa, Chordata, Aves, Passeriformes, Pipridae. The record is from RefSeq and is a predicted model, not a curated record. The transcript has 4 exons.